RNAcentral lists this ribosomal RNA (446 nucleotides) under uncultured bacterium. RNAcentral's name for it is "bacterial LSU rRNA". It matches the Rfam family "Bacterial large subunit ribosomal RNA", at positions 14 to 508 of the family's 2925-position model. The record is from RNAcentral.
AGCGUGCACGGUGGAUGCCUUGGCAUCUGGAGGCGAUGAAAGACGUAGUAGCCUGCGAUAAGCUUCGGUGAGGUGGCAAACAACCUUUGACCCGGAGAUCUCUGAAUGGGGAAACCCACCUAGGGUAACCUAGGUAUCUUUAACUGAAUUCAUAGGUUAAAGAGGCGAACGCGGAGAACUGAAACAUCUAAGUACCCGCAGGAAAAGAAAUCAACCGAGAUUCCCUAAGUAGUGGCGAGCGAACGGGGACCAGCCCUUAAGCUGUUUUGUAGUUAAUAGAAUGGUCUGGAAAGGCCAACCGUAGAGGGUGAAAGUCCCGUAUAUGAAAACUUAUAAGCAGUGAAAACGAGUAGGACGGGACACGUGGUAUCCUGUUUGAAGAUGGGGGGACCAUCCUCCAAGGCUAAAUACUACCAGAUGACCGAUAGUGAACCAGUACCGUGAGG